CCCGGUAAACGGCGGCCGUAACUAUAACGGUCCUAAGGUAGCGAAAUUCCUUGUCGGGUAAGUUCCGACCUGCACGAAUGGCGUAAUGAUGGCCAGGCUGUCUCCACCCGAGACUCAGUGAAAUUGAACUCGCUGUGAAGAUGCAGUGUACCCGCGGCAAGACGGAAAGACCCCGUGAACCUUUACUAUAGCUUGACACUGAACACUGGUCCUUGAUGUGUAGGAUAGGUGGGAGGCUUUGAAGUGUGGACGCCAGUCUGCAUGGAGCCAUCCUUGAAAUACCACCCUUUAAUGGCU
RNAcentral lists this ribosomal RNA (297 nucleotides) under Klebsiella michiganensis. RNAcentral describes it as "partial 23S ribosomal RNA". It matches the Rfam family "Bacterial large subunit ribosomal RNA", at positions 1919 to 2215 of the family's 2925-position model. RNAcentral also lists the same sequence under 1 other name. Lineage: Bacteria; Pseudomonadati; Pseudomonadota; Gammaproteobacteria; Enterobacterales; Enterobacteriaceae. The record is from RNAcentral.